UACUCAGUUUUUCUGAAUAAUCUCAGACAAACAUUUUUUGUACACGUAGACAACAUAACAUAACACCUUGUUAAAUUUACAAAAUAACUAUUUCCCUUCGUCUUUGGCUGGGAAACCCCAUUUGAAAGAAGAAGAACAUGCGGGCGAAAUAAGGGGAUUCACUUGACAAGUGCACUGGAUAAUGGACAACAGCAUUGACUCCCGAAGAUAAAGGACUACCAGAGUGAAAAGAUGAAUCUGACAAUCUUACAGUCACUGCUAAAAAGGGUUCAAAUCUGCUGAAGAUGAAGAAAACUGAAGAAUCUGCAGGACAUGGAUGAUUUUUUUUCUAAAGACCAGCAGUCAGUUUAACUGUUCAGAACAAACAAGAGACUCAUAAACAACCACCAUAAAGUAGAAAAGCCAAGGGUUUAAGAUGACUAUAAUUUUAUAACCAAUCAAGAGCACCCCAGUUCACUUGUUUCCAACAUCUUUGUGGACAACCAAUCCAGUGAUGAAGGUCACAAGAAAGCUGAAAUAUAGCCAUAGAGAGAGCAAAUGUACUUUUUGGAGCCGAUUCUUGCACCUACUGUACCUAAUGGGCCGCAUUUAUGCACUGGAACUAAGCUAUCCAAAGAAACUCAAAUACAACUUUGAGGUCUUUCAUAAGGGCUUCUUCAAGCUUGACGACGAACAGUAACAUGCUCCCCAACGUCCACAAUCUCAAGGUCAGCUUAUUGACCUAAAAGCCAUACAGACAUUGUUGAUGCUAGCGAGAUUUUGUUGGGUAAUUUCAGUUAAACUGUAUUGUUCAGAUUCAUCAGGUUUACCAAAAGCACAUUUUUGAAAUGGUAUUUUUAUAUUUGGAUCAUACUAGUGUGUCAGUUAAAGGG
Molecule: non-coding RNA, 872 nt
Organism: Danio rerio (zebrafish)
Lineage: Eukaryota; Metazoa; Chordata; Actinopteri; Cypriniformes; Danionidae
Source: RefSeq, a predicted model, not a curated record